UGCCAGCAGUCGCGGUUACACCAAGAGAUCGAAUCGUGUCAGUUGGUUAAAAGGUAGUUAUAUAAAGAUAAAGUUCAUUGAUUGCUUAUUGAAAGGUAAAAUUUAUAAAUAAGUAAAAUAGAUCGAAAAUGGCUUAUAAUAUUGAAGCUGCGAUAUCCUCGAGGGAAACUGGGAUUGGAUACCCCAUUAUUCUUGGAUGUAAAAACGAGUUACCAGAGUACUAUGAGCAUUUACAGCUUAAAACUCAAAGAGCUUGGCGGUGUUUUAGAUCACUCAGGGGAACCUGUUUCGUAAUCGACAGUCCACGUUAAACCUAACCUUCUUUUGUUUUCAGCUUGUAUACCGUUGUCGCCAGGUAACUUUUAAAAACAAAAAAGCUAGCAAAUAAACAGUUUUAGUUUAGACGUCAGAUCAGGGUGCAGUCUAUGAGAAGGAGAGAAUGGGUUACAAUUAUAAAAUUAUAAUACGGAAGAUUAACUUAAAAAUUAGUCUUAAAGGAGGACUUGAAAGUAAUUUUAGGUAUAUAAAUAACUUGAAUUAGACUCUGAAACGUGCACACAUCGCCCGCCACUC
Molecule: ribosomal RNA, 573 nt
Filed under: Lienardia gilberti
Lineage: Eukaryota; Metazoa; Mollusca; Gastropoda; Neogastropoda; Clathurellidae
Description: partial 12S ribosomal RNA
Source: RNAcentral